This 253-nucleotide ribosomal RNA is filed under the name uncultured prokaryote. RNAcentral describes it as "partial 16S ribosomal RNA". It matches the Rfam family "Bacterial small subunit ribosomal RNA", at positions 524 to 776 of the family's 1533-position model. The record is from RNAcentral.
UACGUAGGGUGCGAGCGUUAAUCGGAAUUACUGGGCGUAAAGAGUGCGUAGGCGGUCCCGCAAGUCCGCUGUGAAAUCCCCGGGCUUAACCUGGGAAUGGCAUUUGAGACUGCAUGGCUAGAGUGUGUCAGAGGGGGGUAGAAUUCCACGUGUAGCAGUGAAAUGCGUAGAGAUGUGGAGGAAUACCGAUGGCGAAGGCAGCCCCCUGGGAUAACACUGACGCUCAUGCACGAAAGCGUGGGGAGCAAACAGG